UACGAAGGGGGCUAGCGUUGUUCGGAUUUACUGGGCGUAAAGCGCACGUAGGCGGAUUGUUAAGUCGGGGGUGAAAUCCUGGAGCUCAACUCCAGAACUGCCUCUGAUACUGGGGAUCUUGAGUCCGGAAGAGGUAAGUGGAACUGCGAGUGUAGAGGUGAAAUUCGUAGAUAUUCGCAAGAACACCAGUGGCGAAGGCGGCUUACUGGUCCGGUACUGACGCUGAGGUGCGAAAGCGUGGGGAGCAAACAGG
This 253-nucleotide ribosomal RNA is filed under the name uncultured bacterium. Its description in RNAcentral is "partial 16S ribosomal RNA". It matches the Rfam family "Bacterial small subunit ribosomal RNA", at positions 524 to 776 of the family's 1533-position model. The record is from RNAcentral.